Molecule: ribosomal RNA, 384 nt
Filed under: uncultured bacterium
Lineage: Bacteria
Description: bacterial SSU rRNA
Rfam family: Bacterial small subunit ribosomal RNA
Source: RNAcentral
AUUGAACGCUGGCGGCAUGCCUUACACAUGCAAGUCGAACGGCAGCACGGGGGGCAACCCUGGUGGCGAGUGGCGAACGGGUGAGUAAUACAUCGGAACGUGCCCCGUAGCGGGGGACAACCAGUCGAAAGACUGGCUAAUACCGCAUACGCUCCACGGAGGAAAGCAGGGGAUCGCAAGACCUUGCACUAUGGGAGCGGCCGAUGCCCGAUUAGCUAGUUGGUGAGGAAAAGCUCACCAAGGCAACGAUCGGUAGCUGGUCUGAGAGGACGACCAGCCACACUGGGACUGAGACACGGCCCAGACUCCUACGGGAGGCAGCAGUGGGGAAUUUUGGACAAUGGGCGCAAGCCUGAUCCAGCCAUGCCGCGUGCGGGAAGAAGG